Molecule: ribosomal RNA, 391 nt
Filed under: Oxyrrhis marina
Lineage: Eukaryota; Dinophyceae; Oxyrrhinales; Oxyrrhinaceae
Description: partial Bacterial small subunit ribosomal RNA
Rfam family: Bacterial small subunit ribosomal RNA
Source: RNAcentral
GAUUAGCUUGUUGGUGAGGUAAUGGCUCACCAAGGCGACGAUCCGUAACUGGUCUGAGAGGAUGAUCAGUCACACCGGAACUGAGACACGGUCCGGACUCCUACUGAGGCAGCAGUGGGGAAUAUUGGACAAUGGGCGAAAGCCUGAUCCAGCCAUGCCGCGUGUGUGAAGAAGGCCUUUUGGUUGUAAAGCACUUUAAGCAGUGAAGAAGACUCCGUGGUUAAUACCCACGGACGAUGACAUUAGCUGCAGAAUAAGCACCGGCUAACUCUGUGCCAGCAGCCGCGGUAAUACAGAGACCUCAAGCGUUAUUCGGAUUUACUGGGCGUAAAGGGUGCGCAGGCGGCCAAGUGUGUCGGAGGUGAAAUCUUGCAGCUUAACUGUAAAAUUG